AUUGAGCUUAUAUAUCCUUUCUGUAUAUAUGAAAAAGAAUCUCUAGUAUAAUGUGUAGGUUAUAGGCUCAGGAUUUUUCUUAAUGAAGAGUAACUCCUUUUGCUUUUCAGAGAGAAGGAGCUAUUUCAGAGUAUCACAGAACUGCUAUCUCUUUAGGAACAUGCCAAUCUCCACAAGGCAAACAACAAUCUUGCAAGGCCAAAAGCUCAUGAAUAAUGUUCUGAUUGCUUACAGUGAAUGCCCCAGAAUUUGCCAAUUUAAGACUCAAUCCUCUGAGGGUGUGCCUUCUUGGGUUUCUUUCUGGCAUUGGAGACAACAUUAUUUUAUUAGAUUCUUGGAGGUGGACAUUGUCGUCACCAGAAAAAGCACAACAAACACACUUUGUAUUCCAGAGUUGUCUUGCUUAAGUCAACAUGCAUCUGAGGUUUUAUGUUACAAAUCCCAUUAAAUCUUUCUCAAAAUAGCCCUUCUCUGAACCUUUGAUUGAAGGAUAUUUGCAGAAACCAAAGCCAUUUAAUUUUAUUCACAAGUGUAUAUACAUACUUUAUGUUAGAAAGGAUCUUGAUACAGUGGGGCGUUUUUAAAGUGAAUUAUUAUAAGGCAAAAUUCUUCCAGAUUAUAAACUCUUGUCUUACGGAAAAGAUGUAGAGAUCUUCAGGUAGCUGGAUGAAGAUGGAGUGGAUGGAGUGAAUCUUAUAAAGUUAGGAUUUACACUGAGAGUUUGCUAGACUGCAGCCUGGUUUUGCCUAGAUACUCAGACUUGCCCAAGGCCUAGCCUGAUGCCGUGUAAGUGCCGUAUCUGUGCCACCAUAGAUGGAGUGGCAGGACUGGGGCAUGGGGCUGAUGAGCUUGGUUUCUUCUUGGGAGCCUUUGAACUAGGUGAGACUGAGAAUCUUGAAAUUCAAGGAAAACUAGGAUAUUACUUUCCAUUUGUAGGUCGAGAACUAGUCCUUUUUUAUUGACUACUAUUUGCAUAUCAGUAAUCCUUUUAUUCUUCCAUUUUCUAUUACUGCUAUUUCAAGAGAUCCUUACAUCUGAAGAUAACUGGUACCAGAAAACCACUACUUUAAGAGAAUCGACUUAAAACUGAAUCAGACAUUUAAAACAAACAGUAAAACUUUUUAAAAAGAUUUUAUUGGGACUAAGUCUUAAAAAGUUAAAAAGGAAAGUUGAAUCUAAGUUUGUAUUACGUUAUGUAACAGAAAUUUGGGAUAUGAUGCAGCACUAUGUUGUCUCUUAGAACAAAGAUUGAAGGUUGGCUUCUGUGGCAGAAUCAUAAAGUGGGUGAUCUUUGUACAAGCGUCAAAUUCUCCCAAGGGCCUCUCUUAAUCUUCUGAUACACAAACCAUUCUCUUGAAGAGUCUGCCUCUCAUGUAAUCAUCUCUGUUGACUUUUUCUUCCUUAGUUGUCACCCAUUCAGCUCUUUGAUCCAUAUUUGUCAGUGACUGCGUGUGACUGAAGCAGUUCUCCAGUGUCGUUUUUAUCAACUUUAUGUAAAACCUGCAGGUUCACGUUACAAGUGAACCACAUUGUAUUUGCAUUCUUACUCUGUGAUACUAACCAACCAAGAAAGUAAGCAGGAACAGAUGCUGAUGUUCAUGAGGACUAAACGCUAAGUGAUCGCUUUGUCAGUGUUUUUAUAUUAUGACGACCUGUUGUUCCUUAUGCCUCCUGGUAGCUACAGGGACUCAAAGAUCGAUUGCUAAAGUAGUUAGGGACACCCCCGCCCCCCAUAUUAUGUUACCUUCAGAGCACUCAGUAGGGCUUAGUGGGCUUUGCAAUCAACCACAUGUAGACUUGUAUGUCAUUCCUGGCACUUAACUAGGUUAUAUAACCUCGGGUGAGUUAUUCACAGAACUUCAGAUUCUUAAUUUGUGAUGGGGAGUAAUGAAAGCAACCUUGCCGAGUGGUCAUGGGGAUUAGAGCCCAUGUAUGUAAAACUCCUGAGGAGUACAUAGUGCGUGCAGAUCAAGAAAUGAUCCCUAUUAGGGUUGCUGUUCUGUUUAUGUGGUGCCUUACGUUUUAUAUGAGUCUUUCAGAUUUAAUUCAGGUGGAAGAACUUAAAUUUUGGCCAAGUCACUGAAGAUUUUUAAGGUGUGCAGUGACUUGAGCUAAAUUUCAGAAGAUUCUAUUUGGUGACUGGUAUGUCCUGGAUUAGACCGUAUAAUUUGAUAGCCAUUUUCUUCAGGCCAUGGAUGAGAACACUGAGGCCCAAGGAAAUCACGUAACUUUAUGAGGAUCACGUGGUUUAUAUCUGGCAGAGCCAAAGCCAGAACCCAAUCUUCCUUCUCUUUACUGUAUUUUCCCACCACAUAGUCGCUCAUUGGCAAGUGAAACAAUUAAAAAGGCCAUCAUAACUUGUUCAGGAACAAAGUGAUAAAGAUCUGACAUGCUGAAUGAAAGUGGGAACGGGAGGGAGUGGACAAAGGCAGCAGUCACUGAAAACAAGGGCAGAUUAGAUUUGGCCACUGAUUGGCUCAGCUCUGCUCCUCACGAAGGGAAGCAAGGGUCUAAACUUUAAAGCCUGGUCAGAUGACCAUACAGUUAAUUAAACUAAAAUAAGUAAAGUUUGUUGGUUUUGUUGUUUCCUGAUGAAUUUAAAGGGACCGCCUUGUCCACAAGGAAAUAUGUAGGAUUAAAGGUAGAAGACGAUGCCAGUGCAAAAGAAAGAAAUUUGAGACUCUAAUGCCAAAGGAGGAGCAUUGAAACCACUGUACGGUCUAUAAGUCUGUGCACCUCUGUGUGUGUGUGUGUGUGUGUGUUAAACUGGACUCUGUGGCAUAUUCCCAAUUCAAGACUGAGCCACAUUGUGAUAUUAUAUAACUUACUGCCCAGUUAUAAUCACAAACUGUCACACCUUCUUCAGAAAGAAGAGCGGUUCCCAUAGAUUCUUCUGUGUUUGUGUGUUUGUUUUGUUGGAUGGAUCCUGCUGUGGCACUGAGAGACAGACUUUGCUGGGCCCUGCUUUGUAAACAAAUCUGCUCGUGCACACUUUCUUCUAUCAUUGUAUGUGUACACUGGCUCUGCUUUUCCCACCAGACACAAGGAAGCCUAGGAAUUUAGAAGCUUGUUUUCUUUUAGAAGUAUGCAGGCAUCAACGAAAAAUGUGCACAUGCAUUUAAAAUGUGCACAUCCUACCCUAGGUAAGGUUGUGAAUUUUCACAGUUUUAACUCCAGGCCAUGAACUCUGCAAAUACAUUGCAGCCCAAUACACACACAUUUCCCUUGGGAGGCAUCCUGAGAGCCACCACGAAAUAUUGAUUGAGCUCAGUGAAUAAGGAAAGCUCUUUUUACCCUUAAAGUUCAUUCUAUGGCCCAUAAGUGGGACUAGUCACCCAAAAUGAUAUAGCAUAAAACUGCUUUUUCCAAGAAGGGAAGAUUCGUCCCUUUCUUAGAUUAGAAUGUGAACUUAUAAUAAUAUAUAUCCAUAUAACCACUUCCUACCUAUAAUUUUUCGAGUGUUUAAUAUUCCAACCAAGUUCACGUUUUUAUGACAGGAAGUAUGUGAAUGAUUAUGACGGGAGUAAAUAACAUUUGAUUUUAUGAUUACAGUACGGGAAGUAACUUUUCACGCCAAAUAAAUCUUGGGGGGGAAAAAAGUGCCGGCUUAUAAAUUUAACGUACAUAAAUUUCCCAGAAUCUUUGCUGUCUUAAGUGGAAAUAAAACCAGAAUGUGGCCUUGUUUCUUUCUCUUAACUUUUCUUGUCAACAAAUGUCUUUGUUUUAGGAAGAGGCAUUUUCAGGUAUUUUGGCGUGACCCAACAUGAUAUGGAACCAUCAAAAAAAUUUUGAGUGAAAAUAAUAAGGCCAAACUUUGUAAAUAGCAUGAAAAGCUUGAAGACCCUAAGUAGGAAGUUACCUUUUCCUCGAAAAGUAAAUGGCCAAGUCAUCAUCCACCGUCGAGCCAAAGAGUUCCCCCCAUUUCCAGUUACGCUUGUAGCCAAGUUCAGUCAGUAUGUGGGAGAGACAGUUUGUUAGACGUCAAAGAGUCUGCCUAUGAGCAAGUUUAAAGAGAAAAGAAAGAAUUGGGUGGAACUUCAGUUACGUUCAUCAUAGGCAGAACUUUAAUAGAGGCUUCAUUUUUCCCUGACUUUAAAAAAUAAGGUGAAGAAAGGAUUUCUUUCCUCAUCUUUCUCUUUUCUUCUUAAAGCAUGAGGAGCUUGUAGUGAGAAGAGAAUUUAUAACUGACGCUCAUUUCGGAGGAAAUAUUACAUGUCCAUGCAUCACGUGAAUGAAUGGACGCCUGACGUUCAGGUUGACAUACCCGGGAAGGGUGUCACAGUUCAGGUGCACUUAUAGACCCCGUGGGGCUGUGACGCAGUGGGUGGCACAGUGUUGCUCUGGGGCAUACAGGAUGGAGGUUCAAACUUUAACUCUGAGACUGUGAGCCUCACGUAACCACACGGAUUGAAAACACGAUCAUCUCUAAACCCUUUCUCCCUCUGAAACUCAGCAUCGCAGAUUACGCAAAGAAGUAGUCUGCAAAUUAUACAAAGCUGUUCUCAGAGAACAAACUAAUGUGUUAGAAUUACUGAUACUUAGUUGUCAUUAAUUUUUUGAAAUUCUGCAGAGAAUACAUUUGCAUGUGGCAUGAUUAAAAUUCUGCCUUGUGUUGUAGUUUUCAAGGAAGUUUCAUAAGUGCUGUUUUAGACUGGAGGAUGUGCCGGUGGAAAGCUCUGGAACAGAGUGGUCAAGAUCAAGCUCCCCGGCUUUGGGUCCUGACUCCACCACCUACUGAUGGUGUGAUCCUGGUCAAGUCCUUCAACUCCCUGGGCCUCAGUUUACUUAUCUGUAGGAUGGGGAUAAUAACAGGACUUAGUUUGUAGGGUUAUCAUGAGGAUUAAAUGUGUAGAUAGGUAUGUGUUGGGCUAUUGAUAGCACCCAGACCAACCGUGUACAUGAGUAUGCUGUUAUCACUGGUGAUUAAACUGGCUUAAGGAGGUUGCGUGAUCUGAACCAGAGCAAAGUAGAGCCAAAGGAAGAGCUGGAACUCGAACACAAGGCCUUCUGACUUCCCGUGCUCUGGUGUCCCUUCCCGUCUGAGGCCACUCCCUCUCUUUUCUGUAAAAGUGCCACUAAAGAGUGCACUUUUUUUCAUUGUUUAAAAAGAAACUUUGCGUAAACGUUAAACAUGAAGAAUAUUUGUCGCAGGGUUUUAUUUUGUUGGGGGCAGAGAACAGUGGGCCCAGAGAUCUGGAGAGCAAAUACUGAUUCUGUAAAUUUUCCAUAUAUUCUUCAUGUUUGUCUUGAGUGUUCAAAAAUGAGAAAUAGAGCAGUUGGGGUGUACAUCGCAAAGUGUCACCAGGUUAGAAACUAAGGGCUUCGCGGUGCUGGGUAACAAAUACGUGGAUGCACUUGGUUUAUUUGUUUUUAUUCUUCAGUUCUCAUUAAGUGGAAGCCAGGAGUGUGCUCCUCCCACCUUCGUGAGCUCCCUCUCCCCACCCUUCCCGCCCAAGAUAGAAGCACAUGAACAGCCUGAAAAUAAAGCACAGGCUUUUUUUAAGCUCCUCUCUAAGCAAAAUAUCUACUAGUCCCUUCAGAAAAUGAGUUCCAUCCCCACUGGUACUCCUUAAGGUGGGAUAAAAGCAAUUUUUCUUGCUCCAUUUGUUCAGUUGUCAUGAAAUUCUACUCUUCUCUGGUAUAAAUGAUCAGAUUUGGCUAAAGCCAAGAGAAAUACAAAAGGUCAUAUUUCAGCCCCUCGUGGCCAGUUUUCAAAGGGCGCUUUGGUGUGAAAGCCACGUGGCCACUGUGUUAAUGUGACGGCGUCUUAUAAAUAAAUGUUUUUCUGGCCCUGUCUCAGACAAAUCUGAAAAAGUUCUUUCUUUUCCAAACCCCAGGGAUGGCACUCAGAGGCUGUGUCUUCAGUGUCUCAGUGCCCCGUAGAGAAGAUGAUUUCCAUAUUUGAAAUUUGGGGACAAAUGAAAAUAACUCCCAUUCUUUCUUGGAAGGGUUAAUGCUCUAACCAGCCUCAGAUUGGUUCACUUGUAUCUUAAAAUUACUUUUCUGGUCACGCACACUGAAGGUCCAAGCAUUUGUGAAAUGUCUUUUUUUCCUUUCUCCUGAUGCUGUUCCCUGUUGGCUCUCUUAAUUACACAGGGGUUGAGAAACCAAAUUAAAAUUAGGCGUGGCUGGUAAACAGUGAUCACGUUGCAUGCUUUUCGCUUUGCUUGUUGGAUUUCCUUCUCCUCCCUGUGCUGUUUGCCUCCCCACUUUUCCUUUCAAAGGAAAUAUCAUAAGCUCUUUUAGAAAUACUCACAGGAAGUGAGUAUCCGUAUGCUGGUUGCUCGCCAGCAACCAAGCAUUGACAGGUGGAGAAUGUGGCUGCAGCCUUCGCAGAUUUAUUUGAACAUUUCCACCCGAGCAGAGGAUUAAAUUCAGGGUGUACAGACCAAAGGGUUUUUGUAUACUGAGGGAGUUCUAAGGGGAAAUUGGUCAUCGAGUGUCAUCUUGAGGGACAGUGAUUCAGGGAACCGUAAUAGGGGUCAGCAAGGCACGUGGCUGCCGUCCCUGAGGUUUCUGCUCACUUCUCAGAGGGCAGGCUCCCUUCUAAAAAUUAAUGCUCCCUCCACCGCCAACAACGAUUCUUUUGCAGUGAAUCACUUCCAGAAAUGAAUAGCCACAGUUUUUUGGAAUGAACGUUGUGAAACCCCUCGUUUAUAAUGGCAGGUUUUCAGUUGGUGGUUUUAUCAGAGACAAUUUCUCAAGAUCAAAACGAAACCUCCUCUUUAAAAAGAAAGAAAGUACUCUCGAUACAGAAAGCAAAAGUAUUUCCAGUCUCCUACUGAAGAACUGUCCCGGAAGGUCUCGGUACCUAUAUUUAGAGACGCAUGUCCAUCUAUUUGCCGGAAUGUGUGAGUUCUUGGAAUUGUGGAUUCAUUGCCGGUGGCUGGUGAUUUCCUAUGCCGAAGGUCGCUGAGUCGAAGCAGUGUUGUAUGUGGAAUUGGGAAAACAACGUAGUGUGGUUUUCAUUGUUAGUCCUGGAGGAUUCCAAAAUCUGUGUCUGCAAAUAAGAUGAGCUGGAGCGACGUGCUGUGCCACUUGCUGUUUCUACUUGCCUGUUCUCCUAAUCGAAGUGAACCCCUUGCUUCCAGGACAAGCCCAGCCCGUGCUCGGGGACCCUCGUGUGACUGUUCCGUGCCCAUCUCUCAGAAGACUCCAAGCUCAGCUCCUCUGCCUGGGAUGGCAUCUCUGCACAUGCCCUUCUCUCUCCCUCGUCUGUCUACCUGCCAACACCUGCUCCUCCCUAAGAUUCAUCUCAGGUAUGGCCUCCUCCGGGAAACCCUCUGCAUUAUAUUAGAUAAUGCAGUAUAACAGGGGAGGGAAGGAGGGAGGAAAUAGGAGGGAACUUGACACGCCGCAUUAUAACCAGACAUUUUCCAUCCUCUCCGACAAGACAGAAGCUACUGGAGAGUGGAGGCCUGUAUCUCUGCAUCACAGCGUCUGGCAUAGAACUGUUGCUCACUAAUUUUUCAGAGGAAUAAAGGGACGGAGAAUAAAAGCAGCAAAGACCCACAUCACCAAGUGUUCCUCCUAGGGGUGAUGGAGCUCAGGCAAGAGCCCGGUUAAGCUCCAGGGCCCUUGAGUAAAGAUGCUGCAUGUCAGUACAGACACUGGGCAACUCUAUCACCCCAAUAACAACACUUACUCCCCUCGCCUUUGUGCUGUUCCCUGUCUCCAGUCAGCCCAUCCUACUGCCGAAUUAAUCUUUUUCAAGCAUGUGUCGAUCACUUCCUUACUCAAAACUCUUCAGUAGAAGGGCCCCCCACCUUCUUUAGCCUGGCCGUCCAGGACUUCCACAGCUUGACCCCAACCCGCCUCUAUUUCACACCACUUACAGGUGCCGUGAGUACCAUCCGUGUUCUAGGACUCCAAAAGUAUUUGCUGGUGGAUUUCAUUACUUAUUUGACAGGCAGUGUGGAAAAGCGCAUCCUAACAUUUCAGCUAAGACGUGUGUUACUGAACAUCUGUGGGUAUAAGGCGCUGUGCUGGUCACUGAACCAUCAGAGAGGCAGGUGGCGGCCUGUGCCGGCCGGGAGCUGACAGUCAGCUGAGGAGCAGACGAGAAAAUGCACGCGGCGUGAAUGGCAGAAACGAACGUGUCACAAGGCGGCAUGUGAUUGAUUCCAAAUAAAUGGCUCAGGACUGUGGUGUUGGUUAAACAAGAUAACGUGUGUGAAAGAACCUCUACCCUAUAAAACCCUAUAAGGCCUGUGAAAGUCCCCUUGCAGGCUGCCUUGCAGUCUGCCUCUCUCUCAUGCACAGAACUCUUGUUACACUUCACAAGUCGUAGGUACUCACCAGUCUUGCAAAGCCCUGGUCCACCUCCCCAGCCUCCUAUGCCCCUACCCUCGAACCCCAAGCUGCAGAGAUGCUGAAGAGAAGGCCCCGUGUUUUUUAUUUGGUACAAUGUCCCCAGAAACAUUCUUUCCUGCCCAUCUCCCUUCUUUGUCUAACCUAGUCUUCCUUUCAAACUCUGCUCUUCCUUUAGAAUUCAGCCUAGAGUCCUCCAGAAAGCCGUGUCUGACAUUUCAGAGCCGCCACUCCCUCCUCACUCCUCACAGGUGCCGCCGCCUCUGGGGGACGUGCGCCUCUGCCACAGGGACCGUGUCUUUCUGCUCUUCACUGCCAGCACCUGACACAGUAUGUGACAUGGAGUACCUGUCCCUUAAGUGUCGUUGAUUGAAAGAACUGAACGUAUUACAGGGACUCAGUACACAUCCAUUGAUUUGUUGAGACGUAGAUGCUGUGAGUGCAGAGGAGGGUGACGUGCCGGAGCAGUCCAGGGAGGCUCCGCGGAGCAGGUGGGAAAUACUAAGCUGAACAUUCAAGGUUUCGCACGUUGAAAACGGGCAAAGAACAAAAAUACCCGAGGUGGAGGAGCUCAGUGUGUGCGACUGCUGGCAACUCCACCGCUCUGUCCACACGGCCCGGAGGCAGGGAGCCCUGGAGCCGGGGUGGAGGCGGCCUGCUAGUUGGAGCAGAGGGUUUAUUGAAAGGAGGUAGAGAGAAGGCCCUGAGGGUGGGUUGGAUUUAAGUGGUGGGAAGGCCUCAAAGGCACGUGGGUUCUUGCAGGCGGUGAGUGUCAUUAUUUUUGAAAGCUAGUGACUUGCUCAAAGUGGUGUUGAAAGUGGGAGCUGCCUUGUGGCCCUGCCUUCAUCUUCCAUCCCGGCUUUGAGGCUCCUCUGGUGACCCCAGAUGUGAAGCCCCCUCCUAUCAAAUGCCUCACCUUUAAGGGCUGGAUCUUUUGUAAAUAAAGGCUUUCCUUCUGGCGCUGCCCUUGACCUGGCUCUGAGCUGUUGGUCCUUUGGGCCCAUUCAGCUCUGUCCCAUCCCUCUCCCCUCGUGACUGGUAAUGACCCGGAAGGUGGCAGCACCCACGCAGCAGGUGGCCUCAGAGCUGAGUCACCGCCCUGGGAACUGUGCCCUGGUGAGGCCGGCUCAGGCAAACUGGGGAACUCUCCACCUCACCCCGGCUCUGUGAGGCCUCUCAGUGCAACAGCCAGAGCAAAGGAAAAUGGAUUCUUUUAUGCAUCGAGCUGAUGAGAAAGUGAAAUAAAGCUAAUUGAAGAACCUAAAGGAAGUUAUCCUAAUGGCAGUCUCUAGCUGGUGUCUUUGGCAAGCACAGAGUUUUUCCUCACAAUUAUAGUUAUGGCCAUGAUUGUUUUAUCUAAACACAUGAAAAUCAUCCCUUUACACUUAUCUUUAAAAAAUGGGACGAAGAAGAUUUUAAAAUGAUGGUUUACGAUUCUGUAUGACCUUAUGAAUUCAGAGAGCCUAAGAAAUAAAAUGAUGUGGAGAGAUAUCUAAGCUGUCAAUGUUCUAGGAAAUGUGCAAAUGAGGUUUAGGGUUUUUUUUUUAAGUGUUUUAUUAUUCAUAAAUACUCUGAGGGAGGUUGUUUUUAAAAAUUAUGAUGCUUUUAUUUCAUUCCCAGAGAAGAUAAAAAUGUAGUGUUGCUUCUGAAAGAGGGUUUUAGAAAAAAAGGUCUGGCUUGUUUACUACACCAAUGAAUAGAGAUGACCUCAGUCCGAAAAAACAAGUUAACCAUAAUAUCGCUCCUUUGCCUGGCAAAAUAAGCCUUUAUCACAUAGCAAAAGAAGUGCAAGUCUGACCACCUAGUCAUCAUUUCAGCUGAUCAGGAUUUUCCAAAAGACAAAACAAAAAGCUCUCUCCAUUUUCACAACUGAACAAUAGCUCUUAGGAAAUACUACCAGCUUGCUCAGUUCCUAUAAGGCUGUAAAAAAAGUCUGGUGACAAUUACUCACUCAGUCGCCUGAAUGCAAUGCUGUACGUGGUUAACUCUGCUGUCGCCACUGUGAGCUUUCGAAGUUGGAAAAAAGGGGUCAUGUCUGUUGCUUUUUGAGUAUGGAGUUUUUUGACUUAAAAAGAAAUUUAAUCUUUUUUGCUUUAUACAUCCUGUGCCCAGUAAGCUCUGUACAGCUGAAGGGUCCCUACAGAUGGAAGCCUGUUCUCUUGAGCAGAUUUUCCUGAGCUCUGGGUACGUGCACGUGCUCUCUGACCACCGUGGGGCCCAGAUGAGACGCGUUGAGCCAGUCCAUGGAACUCCACUGCUUAGCUGGCAGAUAUGCUGUGACCCGGAAGUUGAGUUUUCUCCUUUAUUUUCCUGUUUACUUUGCAUAUGCGUAAAAAAAUGAGCCACACAAAAAUAUAGACGGUCAAAAGGCUUCCUAAUUUUUCUAAGGCAGAGGAGUUGAGGCAGAUUCUGCUAGAAAGCAGCACCCAUAUCCUAAUUCCUACAGCCUCUGUGAUUUCAGAUCAGCAAAGGCGGAAUCGAAACACACUGGGAAGUUAGAGGUCAGUUGAUUCUAGGAUCCAUUCCAGUCAAAAGAAUCUGUAGACUCACUGGAUUUGGGAAUGGGGUUUGGGGAAAGAGGGUUUUUUUAAAAAGAGGGAAGCUUUGUUCCUUAUUUCUUGACCUGUGUUGGGUGGGAGAACGAACCUGCUUUGAAUAGAAGUUGCAAAAAAGCCAAUCCUGGUGACCAUACAAGAAGAUUAAUGAGGACUCGGCACCAAAUUAAAUAUGCCCAGCCUUUAAGAAAACUGCGUUAAUAGUGCCACUGUGACGGCGUUAACGAUGGGAGCCAUGGGAAGAUGCUUGGGGAGGCUCAGGCGCUGAUGAGUUAAAAAGGCAGAGACAUCCAGUAAGUGAGAUCCCGCCCGGGCACGGGUUUGUUUAUCCUGCCCUUCUGAAGUCAGAGCCAACAUUCUUAAUGGUUUUGAAUGAUUCAGAAUGUUUCUCUUUUGGCAGGGCCACUUUCCACACAUGGGCUUAUGACUAAAACCCCUUAGGUGAGGUCCAAAGCAGAAACUGACCUUACACUUAAUGUCGAAUUUUAGAAUCGUCUUAUUUUAGAGCAACAGGAAAACUGUCAAUACAGCGUGCUUGUUUCAGAGAUGAAGAGCUGGACCAGGGGGUUUGGUCCGCCAGAGGUCACCCAACGGGAGGGCGAGGCCAGUCUGGGCCGGGCCGCCUUCCUCCAACCACACGGGCCCUGGUCCCAGCCUCGGGAGGAGGCUCCCGCCUGUCCUUGGCCUCCCAGCUGGGAGAGGCCAAUGCCCUUUGAGGAAUGUUCAGAAAAUUGCUUAGGUCGGAAAGGAGAACUUCAUUUUUACAAAAUGAAACAAAUCGGUUGUUUAUUUGUCACGGGCAGCUUUUUCAAAAUCUUCUUUGUCAGUAUUUUGAAUUUAUUAGCUCCCAGGCAGAAGGAAGCAUAAUAACAUUUCUAUCCAUACGCCAAAGUAAGAGACUUGAUAUACCCUUCGCUCGCUCACUCUUCUUUUUCUUUUUUUUGGAUGAAAAUUAACUGUGCCACGCUAGUUCUUAAUAAAACAAACUUUGAAUUCUUCCCACAGGAGACAGAAUUGAGCAAUGUUCUAAGAACAUGUUGUACUCUUUUGGGCACUGAGUAAAUGUAAUACUGAGAAGAUGCUCUAGAAGCUUGAAAGUGCCUCUUGGUAAUAGAGUCACCGGGAGAAGUGGCAGAAAGAACAGGGUAGAGAAGCUGGUCCUCGUGGAGGAGGGCUCAGCAGGAGCUGCUGGCUCAGCCUCUUCCUGCCUGGCUGAGGACCUGAGGGCAUCACGGAGCCCACAGGAAAGGACUCAUUUCCCCGUAAGCCAGGGCGUGAACCACUGACCCCUGCUGGGCGCACCCGACGCGGUCAGAACCCGGUCCUCCUCUGGACUCGGCGCUGAACUGCACGUCCACCAGCGCCAGAGACAGCAUCUCCAGGAAAGGACACGCACCACAGGUCGCUGCACCCACUGCGCUGGCCCUCUCCCAGCGGCUCCCAAACCCCGGGGACGACCGUGUGGCCUUCAUUUGUUUAAGGACGACAACCUGAAUUAAGAGAUGAAGCGAUUUAUCCCAGGAGGAAAAGCCAUUCGAAGAAAGGGGAUUUGCACCAGAUUCCUGCCGAGACCCGCCCCCCAAGCCCUCCCCCCCCCCCGUAGCAAAUUGUGCCCUCUUCCUUCCGGGUGGCACUUAAGCAACUGUCACUUAUCGCGUCCUUAUAUUAAUUACACAAUUAUUACAAACGUGUUCCCCCGAAAGAAUGUAAACUAAAUAUGUCAUGAGUAUCAAGUUAAGCAUCUCCAACAGGAUCUUUUCAUAGGAAGAACGGUUCCUUAGUCCUAGUAACAACAAGUGCUAUUUUUUUCCCUCUUCCCAGCCCGUGGAAACAAUGCCGAGGAAAAAUUAUCUUGUGUUUAGCUUCCAGCGUGAUAUUGGAGAUAAGUAACAGUGUCUUUUUUUCCCCCCAUCACCCAUGCUGUCUUCAUUUUUAAGGUAGACAGUUUAUUUUAAGAAGAGCAGGAAGGAGAAGCUUUUGGCUGUCUCCAGGUGCCACGUGGCCCUGAUGGCCUUUCCUGGGGUCAUCUUCCAGGCAAGUGGAGCCGUCCUCACCUGCUACACGGAAGCCAGCGCAGCGUUGGCUCUGCCUGAGCGAACCAGGGAAGUGUUGGGGGGAGGAGAGCGGGGGUGUGGAUUUGAAUCUCCCUUGGAUUAUUUUAAAUUCUUGUGUCGUUAUAUUUGUGUGUACUUGAAAAAUUAUAAUCUAGCAAAUGUUUCAGAUUUAAGCCGUGGGUAAAAUUUUCCUAACAGAAAAUGACACAGUCAGCUGGAAAAAUGGAAUAGAAAGCAGCACAUGCUGUUUCCUUCUUAGGGUUUUUCUAUUCGUGUUGGAGCAGAAAGCCCCUCGCCCGCCCUCACUGCCCCUUUCUUGGAGUGGGUGCCAUCUUGAUAGCCUUCCUGUGUGAGGUGAGGGGACUGGGGGAGCGGGUUUGAGAACCCCCGCCUCCCCUGCUGUCCGCUGUCAGUCAUGCUAACUUCCCUGAGCGCUGGCAGUCAUAUGAGAAUGUCUUAGCUGCGUGUGUGAAAGUCACGCCUGUGUUUCACCUCCAGUGUGAGUGCAAUUCAGUGUCCCGGGACAUGGUCAUCCCCUUUGGUCCUCUAAAGGAGUUGGGGUCUGCGAAUAGGACUCGUGCUGAGCUGGAGGGCAUUUUAUGGGCAUCAUUUCAUCUGUUCUCUCCGUCUCCAGCCAGAACUGCAUUCCAGACACAUGGGUACAUGUAUACCCUAUUCGAAUAUUCAGGCGUCCUGAGAAGGGGCUCCCAGCCUGUCUGGGAAACCCAGAAGGAGCUGACCACCCCCAUUUCUUCCUGCCCAUACCUCUGGAGAUGGAGACUAGGAGGCCCUUGGGAAAGCUUAUCCUGAGCCCAAAGCUUGGUGCCUCACCUAUGGGACCAUGGCCCCUGAAGUUUCCCCAUCCUAAUACCUAUCCCAUUGUCGUAAUAACUGCCAUUUAUUUGUCUGCACCCCCUGCCGGCUUGCAGACUCCAUGAGGACUGGUGCCCGUGUGGGUCCACGUUGCGUCUCCAGCACAGUGCUUCCCACAUGCUAGAUAUUCAACAUCUGUUUCUUCUGCGCUUCAUAAAUUUUGUUUUUUGUCGUCUCCUGCCAUCCCUGAUCUCAGUUAACCUUCCCAUUGUGUGUGUGUGUGUGUGUGCACGUGUGCAGGAAGAAAUGCCUUCAUGAGCUCACUCGCUCGCUCUUACCUUCUGCAUCCUGUGUUAUCGCACAGCCAUCGCAGUCUCACUUCCCAAAGGUCUUGUUUGCCGAAUGCGGUGGCUUUCCCCAUUCCCAUUGAGCUUCACCUCCUGCUACAGUUCACAUGAUGUUACCUCCCCUCCCUGACACCCUCCCCUUUUUCCACCUGCCCAGACCACCCCUGUGGAGCCCGGCUCAGGCCCCUUUCCUCUGCAGACACCCCCCCCCCCCGCCCCCUAGUCAGCCUGCCCCAAGCUCAUCGAAUCCUGAAUGACUGUUGUCCCUCUCUGUCAGCAUGGCACACUUAAGCCUUACUCGUCCCUAUAUACUCAACUUCAUUCCACAUUAGGUUCCAAGGUCACGUGCAAGUGUAUCCAUGUCAUCUGUUUAGGCACUUUUCCAGUUCAGCGCGGGGCUCUUAGGAGGCAAUCAGUGAACGCCUAGCGAUGGAUUCUAACAGAUCUGUCUUUACCCGUCGUGUUGAGAAGUGACUUGUGGUUCUGCAGCAUUGUUGUUGGUUAAUCCCUCCCUGACAGACGUGACCGUCCCUAUGUGCACCCCCCCAUGUGCCUACACUGGACUCUUCUAGGAGCCUCAUCUGCCUCAUGUCCUCUGAGCCUCAUACGGCACCUGGGACAUGGUAAACUCAGUGAAUCAGUGGUUCUGAGACCAGAUAGAUGGAAAUGCUGGAACAUCCUCAUCCCUGUUGCGGAUCGUAUCUGUCCUUUCACAGACUCGCGACUCCUUGUUUUGACGUCCCAUGACCUACCCUUUUUCCGUCAGAGAGCCUCAGACCCAGUCUCUGUGUACUGAUGCUCGAUGGUAUUUUAGUCUUUCACACCAAUUUUAACAUAUUGAUUGUAUAUACCUUCUGGAAAAUUUAUCCAAAAUGUUAAAUGUGCUGUCCCCUCACAGGGGAAUGUGGUGAUGGUUCUUUUUCAGGGGGGAGGUUAAUAUUUAUUGAAAAAUCUCUGGACCAUGGAUUUUACUUGAGUUAGUUAUAUUUUCACAAGUCUGAGAAUUAACAUUAUCAUUUCCACUUUACAGUUGAAAAAAAUAAAGCUCAAAAAGGGUUAAAUAGCUUGUCCCAGGCUAACAAGUGACAGAGGGAAAAUUUGAAACCAGGUCUUUCUGAUCCCAAAGCUUAUGCUGCUUGUCUCUCUGUUCCCCGCUUAAAUGUGCCAUUAAAUGGGAGUUCCCUUAAUGGCGCUCAACGUUGAAUAGGCAGUGUCUAAGCACGUUAACUCAGAUAAGCUGGUGCUCAUGUGGAAAGGCACAGACAAGGACAAGAUGUGUAUUGGUACUUUUGGUUCUAAGCAGAGAUUCAGAGAUCAGCUUCUAAGAGCCUCAAGCUUCAAGAGGAUGACGGUUGAGCACCUAGGAAGAUCCUUUGGGGGGCCCUCUGUGACACAGGGCUGCCCUGUUGAAGGUGUAAGUUGACCCUUGACUCCUCCUGAGAAAACACAGGAAUCCCGUUAGGGAAGCAUCCUCGUGGGCUGGGCUGCUCCACGCUCUCCCCUCUGGUGAUGGGUUUGGUACAAGCCUCAGCCCUGUGUUUAGAUUAGAGCCACCAAGAGCUACCGUGGGAGGCACAGAUGCCAGUGCUCAUAAGGGGAGGCACGGAUGUUAGUGGGAAGCUGAAAAUGCAGCUGUCAAACUCAUAUCCUCAUAGUUAAGAAACCUUAUCACUAACUCAUAUACGGUGUUCUUGACCGAACCUUUCUGUGCUCUGGUUUCCCCAUCUACCAAGAAUGCACAUGCACCUAGAUCUUAGGAGGCUGCAGGUGCAGUGGUCACAAGGUGCUCCUGAGUUCUUUAGAGGAGUGACAGAGAGGAUGGAAGAGGCACGCUACAGAAUUAGGCUUUAUCAUACGCUUUUACAGGAAAAAGUUAAUUGUAGGAAGACUUUGCAGCAGCUUAAAUGAACUCUUGCAAAUACUGCAGAACUCCCGGAACACAGCCGACGGGCGUUCCUUGCAGCUGACACCCAUCUCAGUCACCGUUGACAAGGGGAAGAGCUCCUCACUGACUCUGGGUCCUGUCGUCAUUUUUAUGAUCAGACAAUUUCGGAAACAUGCUAUUAUUUUAAAUUAGUAUUUAAAUAUUCCAAAGCCGUGUGAUUUAAUAGCUCCAUGUCAGUUUCAAUUUUAUGUUUACCCUGAUAGAUCCUCCUUCCUUUUCCUCUCAGCUUGAAUAUUUUAGAUUUAUCUUUCUGUCAUAAGACAGUGUUGAAUAUAACAAUGGCUUUUCUCAGCCAUUUCUCUUCCUGGUCAAGAUCUUCUUGAAUUUUAAUCCCAACUUUCAAGAAUCUUCCGAACAUAUUACGUCCGUGUUUUGAUAGCGUCUUGAAGUGUGUGAGCAUAGUCGCUAAAGAACAUGUCCUCCAACGCUCAGCUUAAAGAUCACACCUGUGAACCACAGUGCGUUGUCUUCCCCAGUCUGUCUGAUGCACGUGUCUAGACCAUAUCACCCCAUCCACUGGCCUCGGCCGUGUUUCUGUUCCUCCAUGGGGUUGUAAUUGUUCACUUGGAAAUUGCAAUAGAUAGUAAUCUGACAGGACAGACUUUUCUUCCUCACACUGCUGAGUCACGCCGCCCCUUGCUGGGUGAAAUGUGAGCUUUUGGGACUUGAGCCCCUUCUAAGGAAGCCUCCUUGGGGCUGUUAUGAAGGCACUCCCAGUGGCUGUGGCAGGUCACGUGCACGGAAGACUGAAGUACUCCUUGAACGAUGAGUUUUCAAAAACGAAGACCUCUACAACACGGGCCUCCUUUCCUAUAAUGUGGCAAAAGGUGCACUCCAGCUUUAAACUUAGACCACGCAGGAGAGAACAUCAUGGGGUUUCUGUUCUGUAUUUCCUCCGCUUGACCGCAGAGCAGUGAGAGAAGGUUGCACUUUCAGACAGUUGCUGCCCUCUGCUGGCCUCUGCAGUCUGUGCUGCUGCAGCCUGAGGUUGCGAAACCAAUUUUGAAAAUAGAAACCUCUCCCUGUCUUCUGUGCGGGCUGCUUUCAUGUCUUUCUUCCGUGACUGGAGCUAUAGGUCUAUACCAUGUUUUAUUUCAUAAGACCUCUUGCUGAGCAAACCUUGAUGAUCUGCGAAACGCACAGCCUCGUGUCGGUGGACGCACCAGUGAGGAGCGUGUCCACCGCUCACUGUGCAGGAACUUUCCCAACCUAUGCAGCAGGAAGGAGAAGGUGCUCCUUAUUUCUUGUUUUUAAAAAUUCAUCUCUUUAUGACAUUGGCGGAGGAACAAGAGAAAACAACUGACUUUUACUUCCUCUGUUGCUCUGGGAGAUUUCCUAAGGGCUCAUACUGUCGUUUAAAUUCCAGGUGCUGAUCUUCUGAGCAGUUGCCUCCUGAGGAUUUCUGUGCCUGGAAAAUAUCUGUCAACAGAUUGCUCUCACACUCCUGUGUAAGUAGAGGCUUGUGCUCGUAAAAUCAACCUCAAGCGAGUUUCGUUUUAUUUUGUUCCUGGAUGAUUCCCCAUAAAUUUUUUUAAAUGGUCAUCAGGGUUCGAUCUCUAUUCCUUUUCUCUUAAACCCUCAACUCCUAACUUAGCAUUGGGAAAAGUCUAUAACGUGAACUCCUGCUUAAAAGGAAGGGUACAGAUCCCGUAUUCAGGUCUUAGAAUGGGAAGAGGAGAAGAAGGUAAAAAAUAUUAAAGAUACUCAUUUCAGUUAAUUCAGUUGGAGAUGCCAUUUGUAGAUCUGAGGGCGUCUUCCGAUUUUAGUAUUUGUCGGAUUCCUCUGCAGUCAGCUGGGCUGACAUGUAUCCAUGUACGAUGAAAUGGACGGAAGCAGGAUCUGUGAGCUUUUUCCAUUUACAAGCUGUGGCAGAUCUCUUAGCCACCUCUCUGCUUAUAAUGUGCUAAGGGAAAAAUGAUUUAUUAUUUCUGUCAUCGUGGCUAUCAUUUAUUGAGUAUUUACAUUGUGCCAUUGCUAGUUCGAAUUGCUGUACCUGAUUUAUUUAAUUGUCACAGCAACCUUAGGUGUGGUGGGUACUAUCAUCAUCCUUAUUUUAAACAGCUGAGGAGACUGAGACACUGAGAGUUAACGUAAGUUACCCAGGGUUGUGCAGGGAGCGAAUUGCAGAGCUUGACAUUCUGCCUCCAGAAGUCUACAUGUGACCAUGUCGCCAUACUGCCUCUUAGAAACGGGGAACUUAGGAGGAUAAACUGCUGGGCUGUAUUUUAGAGACAUUAUUUUAGCACUGUCAUAAUCAUGUGAAUGAGUGUUGGGCUAGUCACUAUGCUCUUUUGACGUGAGCCUCCUUUAGAUUAGCGGGAAGCCAGGCUUUAGAGAUGUGGCUUGCUUAAGGGCACACUGCAAAUCACGUGUGUGGCUGAGCAUCCAGGUCUCCAACCGUUCAGUGCUAGCCAAAUCCUACUAAUUUCCAAGUUGUCGCCGUCCUCUUGGUGGGUUGUUGGGUGCUGCUUCUGCUGAUCAGAACCAAAGCUGGUUUUAAUGGUUUGCUCAUGUGCUUAUUGGUGAAACCCUGAAAUCGGAGCCAGUUUACAUUCAAAGUUCCAUCCGGCCACGUGGAGAAUAGCCAUUACAGUCUCUAUAAUGCGCUGAGCCAGCAGAGACUCACGGCUAAAAGCCUGGGCCUGGAUUCGGGCAAAUCCCGCUUUGCACCCUGGUCUUGCCCUCCACAAGCUUUGUGACCAAGGGCAAGUCAUGUCCCCGUUCUAAAUCUCUGUUCCCUCACCUGGGAAAUGGAGAUGACACCACCAACCUUGUCAGGUGAUUUUGAACGUUGAGAAAAUGCAUAUUAAAGCAUGCAGCAGUAUCUGGCGCAGAGUGUUCCAAAAAUGGAAGCUGUCCCUAUUUUUCAGAGUACCUUCCCGUCCACUUCUCAGUUCAUUUUGUACUUCACCCUGAAAAGGCGCUCCGGGGUGCUGAUCCAUCUAAUAAAAUAAAUGUUUGUGUAGUGCUUUAAAAAUUAUAGAAUGUUUCCAUAUACUGAAUUACGUAUAACCCUAACAACCACUGCAGUCUAGGAAUUUAUGUCUCCAUUCUCUAGAUCAGGAUAAUCAACCUCAGAAAAAUUAAAUGAUUGCCCAGGAUCACAUAGCUAGUAAAUAGCAUAGCCAGGACUUCAACUCAGAAGCGCGGCUCCGGGUCUUGCGCUCCUUGUUCAUCUGCUUCCUGCAGGAAAGCUUUCACUAAAGGCAUGUAAGUCGAGAGAGGACUUACAGCUAGGUGAUCCAGCUCCACAGCAGUAACAGUUGCAUCUCUAUUCUGGUCUACUUUCUCCAGUCAGGACUGUUGGAGCCUGAUGUCCGUAACAUUUUGAAACUACGUUCUUAAAGAAGUCUUGUAGUCAGAUACAGUCUCCUUGUGAAAUCCUGAAGCCCCAAGGGAAGUUAUCUUAAUCCAGUUUGCUCAUGCAAGAACAGACUGGCAUUUCACUUCAAUGAAAACAAUGUAUUUCCACUGUUCCGCUUUUGCCACACGAGAGUUACUGGUGUAGUUUAUGGAUUCACAUUUCAGGCUCCAACUUUCCUAUCAGAUUUGGAAGAAAAAAAUCCAAAGAAGGGCAACCUGCUCAAAAAGCAUCAUAUAAAGUACGACAGUGAAGACUGGAUUUUGAAAUGGAAACAUUCUCAUGGCUUGUGGGCUGAGAGACAAUUAGGAAGGAUGUUCCUGAAAGGUGAUGAUUUUAAUGCUGGGGAUGGAGAGUUUUGCAAUUUUAAGUGUGUUCUCUGUGUGAGAAAGAGUUGUUAAAAAAUAACAUUCCUUUCAAAUGAUGCAAUACCUAAAAAUUGUUGAUGAUUAAAAUAGAAAUACCCUGAGUUACAGAAAUUCAGCCCUACAGUAUCCUGGCCUAAAAAAUGCAGAACAGUCAGGUUGAUUGUUGGAGCUGGAGGAUAAGGAGGCAUGGAAACAUGGUAAUGUUCACUGAGUAAAAUCUUUCCUCGCGGUUGAAUGUCACGGAAAGACUCAGCAGAGCCAGCAGAUAGCAGCUGCUGCCAUCCUGUUUCCUUGUGCAUGUCCUGGAAGGAGAAUGAAUGAGCCCCUAUUAAUUUACCAACUGGUUUUUUUUUUCGUUUCCCUGCUAGCGAACAAUGAGAUUUUUUUCCCCUAUGUUAAUUUGGUAGCCAGUCUCUGCAUGCAGAUCUAUUUUCAGGAAACUGGCCUCUUGCUUUAGAAGAUUACGUGAAAACAGAAGCCCAAGCUCAACUAAGUAACUCGCUUUCCCCCCAAGGGGCUUAAAAUCCGAAGGGAAGUUUUGACUGAUCUCUGUGUUUAUUAUGCUUUAUCUGCUGAAAAUGGCCUGUCAAACUGGGCUCACCUGAAGAGACAUAGAUGCAAAAGGAUAUAUCCAUCUUUGUUCUUCUGCUGAAUUCUGUAGAAAGCGUACUCAAACGAUAAUACAGAAAACUUACCAUAUCUAUUUGUUUCUGCUAAGGGAGCAAAACAGUGUGGUUGUGUCUAUAGUAUGGAUACAUGUGUGUGUGGAUGUACCUAUAGGGGUGUGACAUAUAUUUGAUGUAUGAGAUAUGUAUGCUCUUAUCAGACAUAAGUAAAAGGAAGAAAUCUGUUUUUUAGGAAAAUUUUCCCCAUAACCGAAGUGUCAAAAUCAUUUGGAAAAAACUUCUAAGUGGCAGUAGGCAAAAGGUAUGACUAGUCAUUAGUAAAAAAUAAACGGACCUUUUUGUUCUGGAUUUGGGAUUUUUUAACUGAUGAGAAUAAUCUGGCUGCAUCUGACAAGUUCAGUUACUGAUAUUACGAAUUAGAAUAGCAUAUACAGAAGGAUGCCGUGGACCCUAAAUCAAUCACAAAGUUAGUGAAAUCGCUAUUUGAGAGUUCCAGUGAUUCUUCUAUCUUGGCAGUCUUUCAAGUUAAAAUGCUUGAAUUGACUAUCCAGUUGAAAUAUUUAAUUGCCAGUUGCUUCACAAAGUAUGUGCCUUUCUUUGCAGUCUAUGAGCUGUUGCAUCUUGGAUGAAGUGCUUGUGACACAUCUCUCUAGACCAUAGUGUUCUGUUCCCUUUUUUCAGAGAUGAAAAAACUAGUCUGGUAGUAGUAGGCGUGUGCAGUGGAUGCUUCUCCAUUAUGAAUGAUGAGUUUGUGUUGGGAUCUCCUAUGAAGAGAUAAGCGGUCAAGGCUAUAAGGAGUAAGAACGUUCAAGUGAAACACCCUGCCCCUCCUGGCUUGUUAGCAUCCUGCUGAGCCCAUUUGAAAUCAUCAGCCACAGGCACUUUGUAAUUAGAGGUUCUUCCCGUAAGCAUUAUAAAUGAGGAAAGUCAAAAGAGAAACUAAAGUUCAGUUAAUUGAUUUCAGCCAAGAGAACAGACUAAGUGAAUGGUACAGCCAGGAUUAGAACCUACUUUUCACCAGGUGACGCUAUCAUGAUAAAACCCAAAAAAGAUGGGAGAGUGUUUUAAGUUAAAAAAGACUAAAGAAUCUUAGUGAGUGAACCUGGAUGGAAUCUGGGUUUGAAAACAAACAAAAAUUAUAAAAGACUUUUUUGGAGAAAGUAGGAAAAGUUAAAUACGGACUGGAUAUUAGAUGAUACUAAGGGAAUUGCUCAUUUUCUUAGGAAUGAUAAAGAUAUUAUAACUGUAUGAAGAAUGGCCUCAUUUUUUGGGGGGUCACCUCAAUUUUUUAGACAUGCUCAAGAAGUUAGGAGCAGAGUGUUGGAAUGGUUGUCAAUUUACUUUCAAAUAAUUCAGCAAAAAAUACAUAUAUCUUACAUAGAGAUAACAUAGCUAAAGCAAAAAAUGGCAAAAUGAAUAAUUGUUGAAUGUAGGCGGU
RNAcentral lists this long non-coding RNA (21817 nucleotides) under Equus asinus (donkey). Its description in RNAcentral is "lncRNA (ENSEASG00005023729.1)". Lineage: Eukaryota; Metazoa; Chordata; Mammalia; Perissodactyla; Equidae. The record is from RNAcentral.